ACACAUUUAAAUGGUGCAGCAUGUUCAAGUUGUUCCUAUUGCUAAAAAUACGGACAUUACGAGUCUUAAAGGAUUACCUGGUAGAAAAGGAAUAAACAGUAGUUCAACAACUAAAGCAGCAUAAAAACAGCAGCAAAUCCGUGUUAAAACAACCCGAAAACUUAGAGAGGGAACCCAGAAAUGAACUCUAAAGAGGAUUUAUAUUUUUUUAAAAGUUUGCACUCUAAGAUUCACUCCCAAAGCUCACCAUUUCAGCUUACUUUUCAUGUGUUUAACUGCUGAUUUUUUUUGUUUUUGUGACAAAGUAAUUAUAAAAAAAAUGCCCCCUUGGAAGUGUGAUGGAGUCCCCUCUAUAUAUCAAAACAACCAGCUAUUUCAAAAAAUUAAAAAUCAAUUUUUUUGACGGAUUUUUCUACAAAAUCUUCUCUUAAAUUCAAAAGGCAAGACUUUCUAGUUCAAAUCUUGUCAAGUAUUUCAAACAAAAUCUGCUCUCCACUAUUCAAAGAUAGACUUUAUUCAAAUAAUGUCCAAAGGUCUACAUUUUCUUACCAAACAAUUUGACUUUUGAGUGUUGUACUCAAAGAGUCUUGAAGCAGUAAACAAACAACCAAAUAAGUAUCAUAUACUCUUAAGUAUUUUUCAUUACCUCACUUUUAUCAAUACAAAACUAUUUUACUACUUCAACAAGUGCAAAAACAGAAAAUUUAACAUUUCAAACUUCAAAAACUAAUGCUAAAAUAAUUAAUAAUAGACAAAAAUAAAAUCUGAAAAUUAAAAAUAAAAUAAAAAUCAGCCAUGAAAAAGAAUAGUAUUUUACCAUUUUACACAUCAAAAGGCCGAAAAAAUGGUGGUAUGCCAAAGAGGGUGUUCCGGGAGGUCGCCGGAAUUAAGCCAGAUUUUGGUCGCCGGAUUUUUGGGGUAGAAUUGACAUCAAUAGCUAGGUCUUGAAGAGCUCUAUCCAUUGAUGUAGGUAUUUUGGGGUGGUAGUGGUUGGAGCUUCAAGAAUUUGGGCAAAACAGUGACGGGAAAGUUUCCUAGAUCUAAGAUUCAAGGAGUUUGAGGGAUUUUUUUAAGAUUUGGUUUGGAGAUAUGGAAAGAGGAAGUUGUGGAGAUUACGUGGUGUGAAUUUGGAGGUGUUUGGAGGUGGUCCGCCGGCAGGCGGCGGUAGGCGGAGCUGGGGCGGCGUAGAGAGAGUGAAGAGAGAGAGAAGAGAGAAGAAGGAGAGGGAAAGAAGAGAGAGGAAAUAAGGGGGAAAUGGGGAAAUUUUUUGGGGAUUUUAGGCUUUAAAUACCUAGGAUGAAGAUCAAACUAGGACCGUUGGAUUAAAUCAAGAUGGGUGGAUGAGAUUGAAUCUUGUCACUUAACCAAAACAGUGUAGUUUCAAGAGAAAACUACGUCGUUUUAAGCUCUUCUUGGCAGCCCCCUUUUGGACCGGGUUUGGGUUCUUUGGGCUCAAAUUUUGGGCCAAUUUUGGCACAAUUUUAAUUAAAUUACACUAGCCCAAACCCCACCCCAUUUAUCAAACAAUUACUCAACUCUUAAAACAUAUACAUACACAAAUAAGAACA
Molecule: long non-coding RNA, 1568 nt
Filed under: Nicotiana tabacum (common tobacco)
Lineage: Eukaryota; Viridiplantae; Streptophyta; Magnoliopsida; Solanales; Solanaceae
Description: long non-coding RNA (NTAB_LNC006137)
Source: RNAcentral